This 253-nucleotide ribosomal RNA is filed under the name uncultured bacterium. RNAcentral describes it as "partial 16S ribosomal RNA". It matches the Rfam family "Bacterial small subunit ribosomal RNA", at positions 524 to 776 of the family's 1533-position model. The record is from RNAcentral.
UACAGAGGUGGCAAGCGUUGUUCGGAAUUACUGGGCGUAAAGGGCUCGUAGGUGGCCAACUAAGUCAGACGUGAAAUCCCUCAGCUUAACUGGGGAACUGCGUCUGAUACUGGAUGGCUUGAGUUUGGGAGAGGGAUGCGGAAUUCCAGGUGUAGCGGUGAAAUGCGUAGAUAUCUGGAGGAACACCGGUGGCGAAGGCGGCAUCCUGGACCAACACUGACACUGAGGAGCGAAAGCCAGGGGAGCAAACGGA